Talpa occidentalis (Iberian mole) is the source of this 911-nucleotide long non-coding RNA. RefSeq lists it as uncharacterized. The transcript is spliced from 5 exons. Lineage: Eukaryota; Metazoa; Chordata; Mammalia; Eulipotyphla; Talpidae. The record is from RefSeq and is a predicted model, not a curated record.
CUGUCUUAUGUAGAUGGGUUCAAAAUCCAAAGACAAUUAGCUUUAUAAGAGAAAGGCAGAGAUUUGAGAUGGACAUAGAAAAGAGAUGCUCUGAAGACAGAGGCAGAGAUAAGCAUGGAGGGAUGCAGCUAUAAGCCAGGCAGUGCCAACAGCCACCAGAGACUCAAAAUGGCAAGCAGUGGAAUUGCUCCUUAAAACUUCGCAUGAAGCAUGGCCCUGAGGAUAUUUGGGAGUGUUCAGGGAUCAUCUCAGGAGUAUCGGGUUUGGUCUCUAGGUUGAUGUAAAUCUGACCAGUGGGGAAAACUCAUUUCCUCCAUCCUGCUGGCUACUCUUAAUCAGAGAAAACUCCCAGAGGAUCGUUUUUUCAGAAGAGAAACCAUAGUAGAGCAGCUCAAGAUUAAAUUUAAUGUAACUGUUUAUCAAGCAACUGUGCUCACAGAAUAUGGAUACCGCGUAGGACCAUGGUGAUGAGAACACAUUCCAGGAUAACAAAAUUAAGAAACAAGGAAUUCUGUCCCUGAAGACAUCAUCCUGACCUUCAUAUCAGCCUUGGGCUGCAUAUUUCUGAAUUUCUAUACUAGAGAGGAAUGCUUCUGUCCUGUUUAAGAAUCUUUCCCAAAGCUGCAAUCAGGGUGCUGAGCAGAGCUGCAUUUUAAUCUGAAGACUUGCCUGGGAAGGAUCUCUUUCAAGCACUUAUGUGCUGGAACUCUUGAAGAACUACCGUAACUGCAAAAUAGUCCCUGUGUAGAUACUAAAUGGACUUUCCUACAAGCAGUAUCCAUUAUCGGCUGGCCUAUGCCUAACAGUAAAGAUGACCUCUGUUGAAGCCAUUUAUCUCAAGUCUUCGAUCUGGAGUAGCUGUGUCCAUCUCCUCCCACCUCUAUCAACUAUGUAGAACUGGUAAAAUUGGA